AUGUGAAUGCAAGCAAAUCUCAAAAAUAAACGUCUCAGUUCGGAUUGUAGUCUGCAACUCGACUACAUGAAGCUGGAAUCGCUAGUAAUCGCGAAUCAGAAUGUCGCGGUGAAUACGUUCCCGGGUCUUGUACACACCGCCCGUCACACCAUGGGAGUCUGUAACACCCAAAGCCGGUGGGAUAACCUUUAUAGGAGUCAGCCGUCUAAGGUAGGACAGAUGAUUAGGGUGAAGUCGUAACAAGGUACC
RNAcentral lists this ribosomal RNA (249 nucleotides) under uncultured bacterium. Its description in RNAcentral is "partial 16S ribosomal RNA". It matches the Rfam family "Bacterial small subunit ribosomal RNA", at positions 1255 to 1500 of the family's 1533-position model. The record is from RNAcentral.